GGCCAUUAAUAUUUUAAUCGUAUACACAAAACUCGAGGUAAAAUGCGUACCAGUACUGAAGGGGCUAAGCAUUUGUGUUUAAGCUCGUUUACUUAACAGUUUUCAGAGGUUAUUACGAUUUUUAAGGUGUUUUCACGAUUAUGUUGUGAUAGUGAUACUCUGGUAAUAAUUCUGCAUCAUCAUAGUGAAGAGUAACCAUGAGAACCUCUGAACUUUUCCAAACCAAACGUAUUAAUCCUAAACGAAUGACCGGAAAAUGAGUGUUGUGUACGAGGGGAAAAUGUAGUCUGAAGUUGACAGAGGAACUGAAGUGUAGAGAGUCAGAAAAGCUGCGUCAAGUGGAGAUAAGUGUGUUAUGUACAGCGUAGAGAAGUAAUGAAGUGUGAAGCAAUGGAACAGUAGUGAAGUAUAACAAAUAAAGUAUGUUGUGUGAAGCGAAAAAGUAAUGACGCAAAAUGUAACAAUGUAGUAACAGUGAAGUCUAGAAAAGCAGAUGAAUGCGAGAAAUAAAGUUAAGGAGCGUAACCAAUAAAGUGGAACACACACACACACACACACACAGAGAGAGAGAGAGAGAGAGAGAGAGAGAGAGAGAGAGAGAAGGAUGGAGGACAAAUAAAUCGAUACAUAUUGUUAGAGAUCACAAGAAGACCGAUAUAGUAAUUUUUGUCCUGCUGGCGAGGCAUUGUCUGAUCAGCUGCACAAGAGCUGCUGACUCGUUUAGCACUGUCGCAGCCGAUGCCACCACCACCACCAUAACUACAACCAAAAAGUAUGUCACAAUUCAAAGCUUCGCUCCCAUGAAUGUCUCAACUCCAACACAAGUGAACAAGAAGGAAAGUGUGUGGUGCAUUGAAGAAGGAAUUCCAGCAACAUUCUGUGAAUUACAAGUCUCUCCCCAACAGGUGAUGGAGGGAGAGCACCUGAGUGGUCUGACAGACACAGAGGCCUCCUCAUCAUGGUCUGUCGUACGUAAACAUAAGCACUCGGUGAGAGAAGACAGCAAUCCGCCCUCGGUAAAUGAACUUCAUGGGCUCCACGGCCAGCACUGUGGCAAUGAUGUCGUCUGUGUUGUGUUUGCGGCCGGUGACUGUCAUGAGGCCGUCACGUGACCCACACACAAACACCAGCCCGCCCUGCAGCACAAGCAUCACAUUCAGACCAAGGAAUCCCAGGAGACCCGUCCGCACAAAGGAGGAACUGUCUGAGAUGGGCGUGUUGUCUGGCAGCAGCGGCUGAACACGGAAGGUGGUGUUGGUCAUCCCCUGCAGCCCCCAGUACUGAUCACCCAUUGCCGCACC
Portunus trituberculatus (swimming crab) is the source of this 1301-nucleotide long non-coding RNA. RefSeq lists it as uncharacterized. The transcript is spliced from 5 exons. Lineage: Eukaryota; Metazoa; Arthropoda; Malacostraca; Decapoda; Portunidae. The record is from RefSeq and is a predicted model, not a curated record.